GUGCUUGCUUCGGCAGCACAUACACUAAAAUUGUAAUGAUACAGAGAUUAGCAUGGCCCCUGCACAAGGAUAACAUGCAAAUUCAGGUCCAGUGGCCGAGAACU
This is a small nuclear RNA of Otolemur garnettii (small-eared galago), 104 nucleotides long. The record is from Ensembl. NCBI's taxonomy places the organism in Eukaryota, Metazoa, Chordata, Mammalia, Primates, Galagidae.